UCUUUUGUUAACCCAUAGUCUCGAUGAAUA
Molecule: small RNA, 30 nt
Filed under: Vibrio cholerae O1 biovar El Tor str. N16961
Lineage: Bacteria; Pseudomonadati; Pseudomonadota; Gammaproteobacteria; Vibrionales; Vibrionaceae
Source: RNAcentral